GGGGCUCCCGGAACGAUCGCAUCCCUGCCCGGGGGGUGUCAGCGCUCGGCGCCCGCGGAGUGUGGCCAGCGCUCCCGGUGCUGUAGUUGUUGGGGUCCGCGCCGGGCUCUUCUAAGCCCUCAGGGGCAACAUCUUCAGGAACAACUUCUUUGCUGUCUUUGACCUGGGUCCUGAUCUUACACAGAGACUCCAACAAUGUCCCAUUUCAACAAAGCCGAGCAAGAUGACUGGAUGACUGUUUAUCUGAAGUAUCUCUUGUUUGUGUUUAAUUUCUUCUUCUGGGUGGGUGGUGCUGCAGUGAUGGCUGUUGGCAUAUGGACCCUUGUUGAAAAAAGCGACUAUCUGAAUAUCCUGGCGUCUAGCACAUUUGCCGUGUCUGCAUACAUCCUGAUCUUUGCUGGAGGUCUUGUGAUGAUUACAGGUUUUCUGGGAUUCUGUGCAAUCAUCAGGGAACAAAGGAGCUGUCUUUCCGCAUAUUUCUCCAUGCUCCUCUUGAUCUUCCUUAUUGAGCUGGUUGCUGGAGUUCUUGCCUAUGUUUACUAUCAAAGGCUAAGUGAGGAGCUGAAACAGCACCUGACCCAGACCCUGACUGAGAAUUAUGCUCUUCCUGGGAAAACACACAUCACCCAUUCCAUCGAUCGCCUGCAGCAAGACUUCAAAUGCUGUGGCAGCAAUAGCUCCGCUGAUUGGCAGCGCAGUGUCUAUAUCCUGUCUGUAGAGUCCAGUGGCCGAGUGGUACCAGAUAGCUGCUGUAAAACAGUCACCUUCAAAUGUGGGAAGAGGGAUCAUCCAUCUAACAUUUACAAGGUGGAGGGAGGAUGCAUUACUAAACUGGAACAGUUCCUGGCAGAUCACCUUUUGAUAAUGGGAGCUGUUGGCAUAGGAGUAGCUUGCCUUCAGAGCUGUGGGAUGAUUUUUACCUGCUGUCUACACAGAAGAAUUAAAAUGGACUCUUACUGAAGACUAAAAGUCUCCGCUCUCUUUGCCUUAAUGCACAAUCUAGAGAAACAACAUUUCAACGUGUAUCAGUAUUACCUGUGCAUGCUUAAUGGACCAUAUUUAUAGCCUCCUUCUCUGUUCAUGUUGAUAUGCCUUAAAUCGAGAUGAAUUUUAGCAAGUUCACUGCCUGAAACACUUUCCAAUCCACCUUGAAAUAAUUCUUAACUGAGAAGAGAAAAAAAUAUUUUCUAUUGUUUUUUGGUACAAGAUUUUUUUUAAAAAAAAAAAGCGUUACUACUCUUAUGCAGUAUGAUUUGUAAGGACAUUCUUUUGUAGCUCCACAAUCUGUAUUGUUCAGUAACAGUGCAUCUGCUGCAUAUUCAUCCCAGAUUUUCUUAGUUUAACAGAAAUAUCUUCCUGACUAUAGGAUAUUUUAACUUGAGCAACUAGCUUUAUUUUUUUAAAUGAAGGGAUUUUUUAUAUUUCAUAACUAUGUCAACUUUUUGCUGUUUAGUAUUUUUUUUCAAUCUGUGUCUGUCUCCCCCUCCCUCCAGGUCCAAUUGACGCUGCACUGCAGUCACAGCACCUUUUGUAUCAGAUAGAGGGUAACAGACUGGCCCUGCUGCCAGAGCUGCACCAGGAAUAGCCCAGCAGGGGAAAUAUAAGAUGGGUUGGAGCCUCUCCCUGAGAUAGAAGAAACGAGUGGAUGGGACAGAGGAGAUCUGCAGGACAAACCCCAAGAACAGCCAGUUUGGGGAUGAAAGCAGCAUAGACUGAAGUGUGUUUUUCACUGAUAUUUGUUACCAUAAAGUUACAUUCCAGGAAGGAGGUAAGACUCAGAUCUGGGAACUGACAUCAUGUGGGCAGACUGUCAAUUGUAGGAUUGAGGCCUAAAUUUGAACUUUAUAAAAUGUUAGUAUACUCUGUCCAGGCCAAAUUGUGAACAUCACCUGCUUACAGACAGCAACAAGCUUUUCUGUUGAUAAAGUAACUUUUGUGUAAAGGUGUUUUAGAAUUCAUCAGGAUAUUAACUGACUGCUUUAAAAAAAAUUCAAAGUGAGUGGCUUUCAUUUUGUGUUAAAGUCUCGCUAGCUCUCAAAAAGGUACUGCACAAUCGAAAGUACAGCUGGAGAGGAUAUUAAACAAUAUAAAGAACUAAGCCUCAAACUUGUAUACAGUCUAAAGCAGUGGACACAAAUAUGCCUUCCAGUCAGACAUAAAAUGUAGUGGAGGAAAAGCACUUUUGCCCUAUUGUACUUUUAUGAUAUACACAUUAUCAACUUGUUUGGAAUUGUAAUGUAAACAGUCAAUCAGUUAGAAUAACGUAAAAAUGCUGCAUUAAGUUAAUAGCAGAGUCCAGAACUCCAGUAUAACAGCUGUUACGCCAACUUUUGCCUUGUCAGACAACCCCAAUGUAUCUCACAGUGCCUAUUUCUUGCCGUAUUUGACUGAUUGUUAUGCUGUUCUAUGUGGUACUAUAAUCUUUCAGUGAAUAAAGGCAUAGAACGUAAAUCAGAA
RNA transcript from Terrapene triunguis (Three-toed box turtle), 2457 nucleotides. It is a transcript of the gene named tetraspanin 11, with no coding region annotated. The transcript is spliced from 10 exons. Lineage: Eukaryota; Metazoa; Chordata; Testudines; Emydidae. The record is from RefSeq and is a predicted model, not a curated record.